UCUCACGUCCCCUGUGUGAGCUACCACCUAACAUCUCUCUCUCUCUCUCUCUCUCUCUCUCUCUCUUAUAUAAGUAACCCCUUUGCUCUUCUCCAUUCCCAUUCUUUAAACCUCAAUCCAUAUCAUGUAGAAAUAUCUAGAGGGAGAGCUAUAGAGUGAGAGUCAAAGAUAUAUACUCUAGCUAGAGAUCUUGUUAGUACUCUUCCAAGUAGCUAAUGGAGAAUUCCAAAGGGAUCGCAUUGAUCUAAUGUAUCUCCAACACUUGUGUGUUUGCUUUUUUACUUAGCAAGAUCAUGCGUUCCCUUCGGAGAUUUCCAUUUGUUGCUUCUUCUUCCUCUUCCUCUUCCUCUUCUUCUUCUUCUUUGGAGUUCUUUAUAGAGAUCGAGAGGUGAUUUUAAUCCCUCUGCCCUCUUGUUGAGAGAAAAGCCAAAGGGUUGAGGAUCUUGUGAUUUGAUGCUAGCUAGGCUUGCACUGGAGACCAAUCAAGCUACUUUUUGGACUAGUUCUUUAUUUGUAAGACACUGCCCGAGUAAAGUUAAUUAAUCUUGUCCCCCUCUCAAGGAAAAUUUAACUUUUUUAAUGGAUGGAAAUUUUGAUCUUUAAAUGUAAACAACAAAUUUAUUUAUCCUAGCGUAAACAACAUAUAAAAAUGCCCCUCUGUAACAAUCAUCUCAUCCCUUGGAUCCAACCUAAAUCCUUCGUUUUUUUCUCAAAUUUUCUUUUUCAUUCCUCUCGCUUGCUUUCCUCUCCCUUCUCGAUCGACUUUUGGCAUUUUUCUUUUAGUAUCUGUUAUUUAAUCUUUUCUUUGCAGUGAUUUCAGGUUUCGAGGUGACAAGCUCGUGCAGCAGAAAAUUUUAUAAUGAAGACGAGGAUUGGAAAUGUUACAAGUGUUAAGUUGUGGUUAACGAUAAUGCUAACUUUUUGAGGAGGAUUUAGGGAACUUACUUAGGAGUUAUCUCAAGAUACUUAAGCUUUGAGGGACUAAUAUGAAAAAAAAACACCAACAUAGUAUUGGUAGGUUAAACAGUGAGGGAGUUUUUGAAAACGUUUUAUUUGAUUUCUUUCCAAAUUCUUCAUAAUGUUAUCCGCGAAAGCUAUUGUUGAGGAUAACAUACAAGUAAAUGGUUCUUUCAACUUUUUUUAAACAUUUUGUAUAA
Long non-coding RNA from Asparagus officinalis (garden asparagus), 1157 nucleotides. RefSeq lists it as uncharacterized. Lineage: Eukaryota; Viridiplantae; Streptophyta; Magnoliopsida; Asparagales; Asparagaceae. The record is from RefSeq and is a predicted model, not a curated record. The transcript has 2 exons.